UGUGCAGAGGAGCAGGCUGCAGUCAGAUGUGAGCGAGGAUGGUCUCUGAAGAACUUUCUCGCAGAAUUCCAUGGAGUCUAAUUUCUGCUGGGAUAUUUCCUCCAGGCUGACAUUGGUUUCAGAAGGACGUAUAGUUGAACCAGUUCUUGAUAAGCCUGAAUCUUUAUGUGCUGCAUGUCUGUAAGCUGCCCUCUCAAAGACCUGCUCUCCUCACGUGCUGCAGAAAGAAAAUGACGUGGACAGAGACAGAAAUGUCACAAUCUACGCUCAGCUGGUCUGGAUUAUCCAACUUCUGAGGUGUAUCUGCCGGCUGUCCCUGUAUCCCAUUAUAAAUCAUCUCCUUGUUGAACAUCAGGCCAGACUGGGGUCUGAUUCAUUGGCUGUAUGUGGCUACCUGGCUCCAGGAGGAGCCUCUGUCUCAGUCCUGUAAUAGUCAUCAUGCUUUAAGAAACCUUCACAUUUCUGAACAGUUACAUAGUGUCCUCAGCUGAAGAAAGAGGAAGUCUGGAGUCCAUUUCCGGCAGUUAGCAGGGAGCUGUUUUCCUCUCUCUGACAUUAGCAAUUUGUUUCUAGUAUUAGAUGAUGGAGAAGGAGUCAGAAUGACAUUUACCUCUAUAGAUACCAUGCUCAAGCUUCCUCUCCUUAGAGCAGACAGAAGGCUUCUAAGAAGUGAUCACCUUAGGUGUUUUCUGGAGAAAUAUUGGCUUUCUAAACAAGAUUUAAUGUAAAGAAAUAGUUCCACCGCUUUAAAAAAGAAGGAGGUUUUUAUUCCAUACCUUUGGGGACAGCGACAGUCAACACCAACUUGUGGCAUGGGAUGGAUUUCUACCAAAAGCCUCUGUGAAUGUGCUCUGAGAAGUUUCUACAGAGUCCCAGUGCUCCUGCCUAUGGAGUCACUAACUCUUCAUAAAUCCGUUCCAAAUAGAUCGUCAAGGACACUUGUGACAGAAACGUUUUCAACACCAUGGCAUGUUCCUGAAGAAUCAAAGUUGGCCAGAGAGACUAAACAAGGAUAACGCAGACCCUUUUAUGACGCUGUUUUUCUAUUUUUAAAAGGCAGUUCAAAAGAUAUUGGAAAACUUUCUCUCAAGUGUUUAUUCUUUCUCUCUCCUUUGCUGAGCUUUUAAGGAGAGGCUGAAGAAUGAAAAGAAAGACAGAGAAAGAGUGAGAGAGUCAGUGUGAGACAUAACUAUAAUGCAAUGAGUUGGUUUAG
Molecule: long non-coding RNA, 1213 nt
Filed under: Homo sapiens (human)
Lineage: Eukaryota; Metazoa; Chordata; Mammalia; Primates; Hominidae
Description: HSALNT0237401
Source: RNAcentral